RNAcentral lists this ribosomal RNA (212 nucleotides) under uncultured bacterium. RNAcentral's name for it is "partial 16S ribosomal RNA". It matches the Rfam family "Bacterial small subunit ribosomal RNA", at positions 1288 to 1500 of the family's 1533-position model. The record is from RNAcentral.
ACGUUCGGACUGCAGUCUGCAACUCGACUGCACGAAGCUGGAAUCGCUAGUAAUCGCAGAUCAGAAUGCUGCGGUGAAUACGUUCCCGGGUCUUGUACACACCGCCCGUCACACCAUGGGAGUCAGUAACGCCCGAAGUCAGUGACCUAACCGCAAGGGAGGAGCUGCCGAAGGCGGGACCGAUAACUGGGGUGAAGUCGUAACAAGGUAAC